GGGAUUUGGGCAUGUAGUUCUAUUUUGGCAUCUAUGGUAACAGCAGGCUAGUAACCUGUUCUUUGAUUUAUUAUUUUAGAAUUGUUUGGAUAUGAUCUUAGUAUCCUUAUCGUGCAUGAUGCAACUAAUUGAACUGGCAGGCUUAUGUGUAGAAACACAAUAGUUGUACCACUACUACCCCAGAUUUGCGCAUUUAUCUUCUAUGCUAAUAAUUUAUUUGAAGAUUAGGAAUGAACAAAAAUGAAAAUGUUAGCUCUGUCAAUCUUGUAUGUGAUAAUGUGAGGCAUUAUUAUACUCUUGUCAUUCUGAGAAUUUUUGUACAAAAAAAUUCAACAAUCUGAAUAUUUGUAUGCAAAGCAGGUAGUGGCUCAUGCGCAUUAGA
RNAcentral lists this unclassified non-coding RNA (382 nucleotides) under Hevea brasiliensis (rubber tree). Lineage: Eukaryota; Viridiplantae; Streptophyta; Magnoliopsida; Malpighiales; Euphorbiaceae. The record is from RNAcentral.